Molecule: long non-coding RNA, 221 nt
Filed under: Elaeis guineensis (African oil palm)
Lineage: Eukaryota; Viridiplantae; Streptophyta; Magnoliopsida; Arecales; Arecaceae
Description: long non-coding RNA (EGUI_LNC080122)
Source: RNAcentral
GGAGUGCUUCUUUUGCAAGAAGCAGGGGCACUGGAAGAGGAACUGUCCUCUAUACAUUGCCUCCCUGGACCCAAACAGGCCGAAGAAGAAGCAAGGUAAUUAUAUGAUAAUACCUUGCAACUUUUUCAUUUGUGAUACUACUGCCUGGGUAUUGGAUACCGGAAGCCCUUAUCAUAUUUGCAAUUCGAUGCAGGGUCUGCAGAUCAGUAGGAGAUUUGAUG